CAGUCGCCACGGUAAUACGUAGGUGGCAAGCGUUGUCCGGAAUUAUUGGGCGUAAAGCGCGCGCAGGUGGUUUAAUAAGUCUGAUGUGAAAGCCCACGGCUCAACCGUGGAGGGUCAUUGGAAACUGUUAAACUUGAGUGCAGGAGAGAAAAGUGGAAUUCCUAGUGUAGCGGUGAAAUGCGUAGAGAUUAGGAGGAACACCAGUGGCGAAGGCGGCUUUUUGGCCUGUAACUGACACUGAGGCGCGAGAGCGUGGGGAGCAAACAGGAUUAGAUACCCCUGUAGUCCCUGUCUCUUAUAC
This 301-nucleotide ribosomal RNA is filed under the name uncultured bacterium. Its description in RNAcentral is "partial 16S ribosomal RNA". It matches the Rfam family "Bacterial small subunit ribosomal RNA", at positions 509 to 807 of the family's 1533-position model. The record is from RNAcentral.